UCCCCAGUAGCUCAGUGGUAAAGAAUCUGCCUAUGAAUGCAGGAGACGCAGGUUCGAUCCCUGGAUGGGGAA
RNAcentral lists this transfer RNA (72 nucleotides) under Ovis aries (sheep). It matches the Rfam family "tRNA". Rfam says of the family: Transfer RNA (tRNA) molecules are approximately 80 nucleotides in length. Lineage: Eukaryota; Metazoa; Chordata; Mammalia; Artiodactyla; Bovidae. The record is from Rfam by way of RNAcentral.